AACGAACGCUGGCGGCAUGCCUAACACAUGCAAGUCGAACGAGACCUUCGGGUCUAGUGGCGCACGGGUGCGUAACGCGUGGGAACCUGCCCUUAGGUUCGGAAUAACUCCCCGAAAGGGGUGCUAAUACCGGAUAAUUUCUUCGGACCAAAGAUUUAUCGCCUUUGGAUGGGCCCGCGUUGGAUUAGCUAGUUGGUAGGGUAAAAGCCUACCAAGGCGACGAUCCAUAGCUGGUCUGAGAGGAUGAUCAGCCACACUGGGACUGAGACACGGCCCAGACUCCUACGGGAGGAAGAAGUGGGGAAUAUUGGACAGUGGGCGAAAGAAUGAUCCAGCAAUGCCGCGUGAGUGAUGAAGGACUUAGGGUUGUAAAGCUCUUUUACCCGGGAUGAUAAUGACAGUACCGGGAGAAUAAGCUCCGGCUAACUCCGUG
Molecule: ribosomal RNA, 433 nt
Filed under: uncultured bacterium
Lineage: Bacteria
Description: partial 16S ribosomal RNA
Rfam family: Bacterial small subunit ribosomal RNA
Source: RNAcentral